This 468-nucleotide ribosomal RNA is filed under the name uncultured bacterium. Its description in RNAcentral is "partial 16S ribosomal RNA". It matches the Rfam family "Bacterial small subunit ribosomal RNA", at positions 28 to 507 of the family's 1533-position model. The record is from RNAcentral.
GACGAACGCUGGCGGCGUGCUUAACACAUGCAAGUCGAACGGAAAGGCCCUGCUCUUGUGGGGUGCUCGAGUGGCGAACGGGUGAGUAACACGUGAGUAACCUGCCCUUGACUUUGGGAUAACUUCAGGAAACUGGGGCUAAUACCGGAUAGGAGCUCCUGCUGCAUGGUGGGGGAUGGAAAGUUUCGGCGGUUGGGGAUGGACUCGCGGCUUAUCAGCUUGUUGGUGGGGUAGUGGCUUACCAAGGGUUUGACGGGUAGCCGGCCUGGGAGGGUGAACGGCGUCAUGGGGACUGAGGUACGCACCAGACGCGUACGGGAGGCAGCAGGCGGGAGUAUUGCACAGUGGGCGGAAGCGUGAUGCAGCAACGCCGCGUGCGGAAUAACGGCCUUCGGGUUGUGAACCGCUUUCGCCUGUGACGAAGCGUGAGUGACGGUAAUGAGUAAAGAAGCACCGGCUAACUACGUG